CCUACGGGAGGCAGCAGUGGGGAAUAUUGGGCAAUGGGCGCAAGCCUGACCCAGCAACGCCGCGUGAAGGAAGAGGGCUCUCGGGUUGUAAACUUCUUUUAUCAGGGACGAAGCAAGUGACGGUAACUGAUGAAUAAGCCACGGCUAACUACGUGCCAGCCGCCGCGGUAAUACGUAGGUGGCAAGCGUUAUCCGGAUUUACUGGGGUUAAAGGGCGUGUAGGCGGGAAAGCAAGUCAGAUGUGAAAACCAUGGGCUCAACCUGUGGACUGCAUUUGAAACUGUUUUUCUUGAGUACUGGAGAGGCAGACGGAAUUCUUAGUGUAGCGGUGAAAUGCGUAGAUAUUAGGAGGAACACCAGUGGCGAAGGCGGUCUGCUGGAAAGCAACUGACGCUGAGGCGCGAAAGCGUGGGGAGCAAACAGGAUUAGAUACCCCGGUAGUC
Molecule: ribosomal RNA, 443 nt
Filed under: uncultured bacterium
Lineage: Bacteria
Description: partial 16S ribosomal RNA
Rfam family: Bacterial small subunit ribosomal RNA
Source: RNAcentral